GCGCAGGUAUGUAAAAGGCUGAAGCGAGCGGUCUGUAAAACCGUGACCCACGUGGUAAACAAUGCAGGUUCAAAUCCAGCCCGGCGCAC
This 89-nucleotide transfer RNA is filed under the name Enterocloster clostridioformis. Its description in RNAcentral is "[Clostridium] clostridioforme tRNA-Tyr(gta)". It matches the Rfam family "tRNA". Rfam says of the family: Transfer RNA (tRNA) molecules are approximately 80 nucleotides in length. Their secondary structure includes four short double-helical elements and three loops (D, anti-codon, and T loops). Further hydrogen bonds mediate the characteristic L-shaped molecular structure. tRNAs have two regions of fundamental functional importance: the anti-codon, which is responsible for specific mRNA codon recognition, and the 3' end, to which the tRNAs corresponding amino acid is attached (by aminoacyl-tRNA synthetases). tRNAs cope with the degeneracy of the genetic code in two manners: having more than one tRNA (with a specific anti-codon) for a particular amino acid; and 'wobble' base-pairing, i.e. permitting non-standard base-pairing at the 3rd anti-codon position. The record is from RNAcentral. Lineage: Bacteria; Bacillati; Bacillota; Clostridia; Lachnospirales; Lachnospiraceae. RNAcentral also lists the same sequence under 1 other name.